Non-coding RNA from Pelobates cultripes (western spadefoot toad), 429 nucleotides. The record is from the annotation of a GenBank genome assembly. NCBI's taxonomy places the organism in Eukaryota, Metazoa, Chordata, Amphibia, Anura, Pelobatidae.
UAAGCAGCCACCAUGCUGCAAACUUGUGUCUCCAUGGGGUGUCAACAUCAGCACCUGCAUCUGCCAAAGAGGUAAUCCCUAAUUCAACAAUAGUUCCCUCCUUUGUACAAAUUUGUAAUGAGUUCCAGGGCCAAUUUUCAAACAAACUGGGGUCAGCAUUAACCAGUCACUUUGCACUGCUGCUUCAAAUAAUGAGUCUAGGACAAGCGCGUGUUUGUCUUAUACUCCGUCUACCCCGUCCGUAACUCUAUACUUGCCAGUAAAACCAUUCUGGUCGUCAUCAAACAGGUGCGAGUGGUUACUGAGUCUUAUUCUCUUCUUUCUCACUGAAGGCGAUGGCCUACUGAACUCUCUCUGGUUCCCUUCAACCUUGCGAUACAUUUUUCAUGAAUGAUAGCAUUUCAAUGUCAUGGGAACCAGCUGUGGGGC